UACGAAGGGGGCUAGCGUUGCUCGGAAUCACUGGGCGUAAAGGGCGCGUAGGCGGCUGAUUUAGUCGAGGGUGAAAGCCCGUGGCUCAACCACGGAAUGGCCUUCGAUACUGGUUGGCUUGAGACCGGAAGAGGACAGCGGAACUGCGAGUGUAGAGGUGAAAUUCGUAGAUAUUCGCAAGAACACCAGUGGCGAAGGCGGCUGUCUGGUCCGGUUCUGACGCUGAGGCGCGAAAGCGUGGGGAGCAAAC
This 250-nucleotide ribosomal RNA is filed under the name uncultured bacterium. RNAcentral describes it as "partial 16S ribosomal RNA". It matches the Rfam family "Bacterial small subunit ribosomal RNA", at positions 524 to 773 of the family's 1533-position model. RNAcentral also lists the same sequence under 1 other name. The record is from RNAcentral.